GAUGGCGACCGGCGCACGGGUGCGUAACGCGUAUGCAACUUGCCUCACAGAGGGGGAUAACCCGUCGAAAGACGGACUAAUACCGCGUACACUUGGGAUAGGGCAUCCUAAUCCAAGGAAAUGAAAUUCGCUGUGAGAUAGGCAUGCGUCCCAUUAGCUAGUUGGUGAGGUAACGGCUCACCAAGGCGACGAUGGGUAGGGGAACUGAGAGGUUGAACCCCCACACUGGUACUGAGACACGGACCAGACUCCUACGGGAGGCAGCAGUGAGGAAUAUUGGUCAAUGGGCGAGAGCCUGAACCAGCCAAGUCGCGUGAAGGAUGACUGUCUUAUGGAUUGUAAACUUCUUUUGUAGGGGAAUAAAGAAUGGUACGUGUACCAUAGUGAAUGUACCCUACGAAUAAGCAUCGGCUAACUCCGUGCCAGCAGCCGCGGUAAUACGGAGGAUGCGAGCGUUAUCCGGAUUUAUUGGGUUUAAAGGGUGCGUAGGCGGCCUGUUAAGUCAGCGGUGAAAUCUAGGGGCUUAACUCCUAAAUUGCCAUUGAUACUGGUGGGCUUGAGUGUAGAUGAAGUAGGCGGAAUGCGUGGUGUAGCGGUGGAGUGCAUAGAUAUCACGCAGAACUCCAAUUGCGAAGGCAGCUUACUAAGGUACAACUGACGCUGAAGCACGAAAGCGUGGGUAUCAAACAGGAUUAGAUACCCUGGUAGUCCACGCAGUAAACGAUGAUAACUGGGCGUAUGCGAUAUACAGUAUGCUCCUAAGCGAAAGCGUUAAGUUUUCCCCUGGGGAAUACGCCCGCCACGGUGAAACUCAAGGAAUUGA
This 823-nucleotide ribosomal RNA is filed under the name uncultured bacterium. Its description in RNAcentral is "bacterial SSU rRNA". It matches the Rfam family "Bacterial small subunit ribosomal RNA", at positions 87 to 913 of the family's 1533-position model. The record is from RNAcentral.